RNAcentral lists this ribosomal RNA (254 nucleotides) under uncultured bacterium. RNAcentral describes it as "partial 16S ribosomal RNA". It matches the Rfam family "Bacterial small subunit ribosomal RNA", at positions 524 to 777 of the family's 1533-position model. The record is from RNAcentral.
UACGUAGGGGGCAAGCGUUGUCCGGAAUCAUUGGGCGUAAAGAGCGUGUAGGCGGUCCGGUAAGUCAGCUGUGAAAGUCAAGGGCUCAACCCUUGAAUGCCGGUUGAUACUGUCGGGCUAGAGUCCGGAAGAGGCGAGUGGAAUUCCCGGUGUAGCGGUGAAAUGCGCAGAUAUCGGGAGGAACACCAAUGGCGAAGGCAGCUCGCUGGGACGGUACUGACGCUGAGACGCGAAAGCGUGGGGAGCAAACAGGG